AGCGAACGCUGGCGGCAGGCCUAACACAUGCAAGUCGAACGAACUCUUCGGAGUUAGUGGCGGACGGGUGAGUAACACGUGGGAACGUGCCUUUAGGUUCGGAUUAACUCAGGGAAACUUGUGCUAAUACCGAAUGUGCCCUUCGGGGGAAAGAUUUAUCGCCUUUAGAGCGGCCCGCGUCUGAUUAGCUAGUUGGUGAGGUAAAGGCUCACCAAGGCGACGAUCAGUAGCUGGUCUGAGAGGAUGAUCAGCCACAUUGGGACUGAGACACGGCCCAAACUCCUACGGGAGGCAGCAGUGGGGAAUCUUGCGCAAUGGGCGAAAGCCUGACGCAGCCAUGCCGCGUGAAUGAUGAAGGUCUUAGGAUUGUAAAAUUCUUUCACCGGGGACGAUAAUGACGGUACCCGGAGAAGAAGCCCCGGCUAACUUCGUG
This 433-nucleotide ribosomal RNA is filed under the name uncultured bacterium. RNAcentral describes it as "partial 16S ribosomal RNA". It matches the Rfam family "Bacterial small subunit ribosomal RNA", at positions 29 to 507 of the family's 1533-position model. The record is from RNAcentral.